RNAcentral lists this ribosomal RNA (253 nucleotides) under uncultured bacterium. RNAcentral describes it as "partial 16S ribosomal RNA". It matches the Rfam family "Bacterial small subunit ribosomal RNA", at positions 524 to 776 of the family's 1533-position model. The record is from RNAcentral.
UACGUAGGGUGCGAGCGUUGUUCGGAAUUACUGGGCGUAAAGGGCUCGUAGGCGGCCAACUAAGUCCGACGUGAAAUCCCAAAGCUUAACUUUGGAACUGCGUCGGAUACUGGAUGGCUUGAAUUCGGGAGAGGGAUGCAGAAUUCCAGGUGUAGCGGUGAAAUGCGUAGAGAUCGGGAGGAAGGCCGGUGGCGAAGGCGGCGCUCUGGAACAUUUCUGACGCUGAGGCUCGAAAGCGUGGGGAGCAAACAGG